Molecule: ribosomal RNA, 535 nt
Filed under: Ansonia longidigita (long-fingered stream toad)
Lineage: Eukaryota; Metazoa; Chordata; Amphibia; Anura; Bufonidae
Description: partial 16S ribosomal RNA
Rfam family: Bacterial large subunit ribosomal RNA
Source: RNAcentral
AAAAACAUCGCCUCUUGAAUUUUAAAUAAGAGGUCCAGCCUGCCCAGUGACUCUGUUCAACGGCCGCGGUAUCCUAACCGUGCGAAGGUAGCGUAAUCACUUGUUCUUUAAAUAAGGACUAGUAUGAAUGGCAUCACGAAGGCUAUACUGUCUCCUUUUUUUGAUCAGUGAAACUAAUCUUCCCGUGAAGAAGCGGGAAUAAACAUAUAAGACGAGAAGACCCUAUGGAGCUUUAAACAACAUAGCACUUACCACGCAUACAAAAAUUUAUGAAUUACAAAACUCACCAGGUAAAAUGUCUAUAAGUUUUUGGUUGGGGUGACCACGGAGCACAACAUAACCUCCAUGUUGAAAGAACACCAUUCUUAACAAAGAACUACUUUUCUAAGUAUCAACAUUUUGACAUCCAUUGACCCAAUGAUUUUGAGCAACGAACCAAGUUACCCUAGGGAUAACAGCGCAAUCCACUUUAAGAGCCCCUAUCGACAAGUGGGUUUACGACCUCGAUGUUGGAUCAGGGUUUCCAAGUGGUGCA